GCACGGGUGAGUAACACGUGACUAACCUACCUUUGAGUGGGGGAUAACUGAGGGAAACCUUAGCUAAUACCGCAUAAUACCCACGGGUCAAAGAAGCAAUUCGCUUAAAGAGGGGGUCGCGGCCGAUUAGUUAGUUGGCGGGGUAAUGGCCCACCAAGACAGUGAUCGGUAUCCGGCCUGAGAGGGCGCACGGACACACUGGAACUGAAACACGGUCCAGACUCCUACGGGAGGCAGCAGUGGGGAAUUUUGCGCAAUGGGGGAAACCCUGACGCAGCAACGCCGCGUGGAGGAUGAAGUACUUCGGUACGUAAACUCCUUUCGAUCGGGACGAUUAUGACGGUACCGGAAGAAGAAGCCCCGGCUAACUUCGUGCCAGCAGCCGCGGUAAUACGAGGGGGGCAAGCGUUGUUCGGAAUUAUUGGGCGUAAAGGGAGUGUAGGCGGUUUGGUAAGUUGUGUGUGAAAUCUUCGGGCUCAACCCGAAGUCUGCACACAAAACUGCCGGGCUUGAGGGUGGGAGAGGUGAGUGGAAUUUCCGGUGUAGCGGUGAAAUGCGUAGAUAUCGGAAGGAACACCUGUG
RNAcentral lists this ribosomal RNA (582 nucleotides) under uncultured bacterium. RNAcentral's name for it is "bacterial SSU rRNA". It matches the Rfam family "Bacterial small subunit ribosomal RNA", at positions 100 to 714 of the family's 1533-position model. The record is from RNAcentral.